This is a long non-coding RNA of Erpetoichthys calabaricus (reedfish), 826 nucleotides long. RefSeq lists it as uncharacterized. The transcript has 2 exons. NCBI's taxonomy places the organism in Eukaryota, Metazoa, Chordata, Cladistia, Polypteriformes, Polypteridae. The record is from RefSeq and is a predicted model, not a curated record.
AGAGCUGCUUGGACUGUUCUUUUGUCUUCAUUGUGUAGGAUAGGACAAGACACUGGCUCACCACAAGCAGGACCUUCCAAAUACAGAUGAGCCUGGCCUUGUUAGAAGGGAAGAAGUACAUUCAACAGCAGGAUCAAUGCCAGAGACAACAGAGGGUUAUACGUCUGGUACAUGACUGAAGGAACAACAGCCUUGGAUAAAGAGAAGCUCAGGCAGAUAAAGGGAAUGAAGAGAAGGCUAUUACAUGCUUUGAUUACUUUGCACCUCUCCAGUCCAAAGACCUUGAUUUGCUUUUUCUGUUAUCACCUCCAAGGAUCCCCAAGACAAAGUAUGUUGUGGAUGUGGUAAUAGUAAUUGGUAAGUGUGGCAUUAACUAGCAAGGGUACAAAGUGUACAAAGCUGAAGCUACCUGCACUCUGCAAGACAAUCCUCUUGACCAUAGCAGCUUGUUGUUCCUCUAAAUAUGACACCUGUCACCAACAUCUACAUCAGUGCGUUGAAAAGGGCAAGAGACAGCUUAUUUAGGAGCUGUGUGUCUCUUUUCAUUUGAUGGCAGUUACCAUGCCAGUCUAGUAAUAAUGCCCCUCUCCCCAAAUGGGGGUGCACUGGUCUGCAUCAUGUCACACCAGGGCUGAAAGACAGUCCAACUACAGCCCUGAGAAAGCCAUAUAUAAUUUCAGACAAACAUAUUACAUAUUGCUCCACUUAAUGAUAAUGACCUGAUAAGCAUUAACUAAACCACCUUAGUGAUUAGAACCUGACAAACCAAAACAAGUUUAAGAUGUCUAUCUGUGCUCACCAGCUGUAAUUAAAUAUUUAAUUAUAA